Zea mays is the source of this 988-nucleotide long non-coding RNA. RefSeq lists it as uncharacterized. NCBI's taxonomy places the organism in Eukaryota, Viridiplantae, Streptophyta, Magnoliopsida, Poales, Poaceae. The record is from RefSeq and is a predicted model, not a curated record. The transcript has 3 exons.
UAGAAAUGGUGCAGGAUAGCAGCCUGUUAGCGUUCAUUUUGUUCAAUGGAGAGCCUUCUCACGCCCAAACCUAGGGAACUUCUCUCGAUGUUUCAACAUGUAUACGUUGUGAAUUCAUGGUGUGAUACAUUAGGUACAUAAGUUUUCAUUGACCUUCUGUUGUGUUUUGUUUACUGCUUGUUUCAAUCAGACUUGAUUUUUCUAUCUGAAACAAGAAUUCUGGACAAGAAAACGUUCUUUAAGUCUGUUAUUUGGUAUUUACAGGUAUAGGUACAAUAUUUCUGACAUGUCUUGACCUUCUGACAGGUAUUUAAGAGUGGCCCUCUCUUCAUAUCAUCGAAAGGAAUUGGAUGGAAAUAAUGGAAAAAACGUUGGUUCAUCCUCACACGAACGCCACUGGUUUUCUUCAAGAGUGAUCCUAGUACAUUACCACAGAGAAGUGGUGAAGUGAACCUUACAUUGGGGGGAUUGACCUUAAAUUACCACAGAGAAGUGGUGAAGUGAACCUUACAUUCUGGGAGGUAUGUAUCUAUUUAACAAAUAUUCUUUUGAAUCUUGAUUGGUCAUGCUUAAUGUACUAAAGUUGUUUGUCGUUUGUGUAUACCUCUCUCUCUAGACAGAUAAAUUACUGUUUGUUAUCUUUUGUUGUAUUUGGCACUCAUUUGCAGUGUAGUGGUCAGGGAAGACAAAAGACUGCUGACCGUCCUUUUUCCAGAUGGCCGUGAUGGUCGCACCUUUACCUUGAAGGUACACAUGAGAAUGUAUGGUGAGAAGACUUAAGUCAUGAGAUGCCCAAGAGAAAGAGGAUUAGAUCCAACUAGCCAUUGCAAUGUAUUUUUGGAAUAUGGCUUCAUUUUAUUUUGGAGGAUUGAUCAAAUACUUAUUUUGACCUGUAAUGAUACUGUUAUGCCAUCUAGAAAAACAAAAUGUAACGGCCCAAAUUUUGCAUAUCAUAAUGAUGUUUGUCGUUCUAUAUCUUACGUUUUAU